RNAcentral lists this ribosomal RNA (315 nucleotides) under Cephaloascus fragrans. Its description in RNAcentral is "partial 25S ribosomal RNA". It matches the Rfam family "Eukaryotic large subunit ribosomal RNA", at positions 302 to 634 of the family's 3401-position model. Lineage: Eukaryota; Fungi; Ascomycota; Pichiomycetes; Serinales; Cephaloascaceae. The record is from RNAcentral.
AAUUCCAUCNNAAGCUNAAUAUUGGCGAGAGACCGAUAGCGAACAAGUACAGUGAUGGAAAGAUGAAAAGAACUUUGAAAAGAGAGUGAAAAAGUACGUGAAAUUGUUGAAAGGGAAGGGCUUGAGAUCAGACUUGGUNUUUUGUGUACACUUUCCUUCUUGGAUUGNUUUCGCAUUACUACCGGGCCAGCAUCNGUUUGGGUGGNAGGAUAAUGACAUUGGAACGUGGCUCUACUUCGGUAGAGUGUUAUAGCCUUUGUUGAUGCUGCCNACCNNGACCGAGGNCUGCGUCUUUUGACUAGGAUGCUGGCGNNA